GAUGAAGAACGCAGCGAAAUGCGAUAAGUAAUGUGAAUUGCAGAAUUCAGUGAAUCAUCGAAUCUUUGAACGCACAUUGCGCCCGCCAGUAUUCUGGCGGGCAUGCCUGUUCGAGCGUCAUUACAACCCUCAGGCCCCCGGGCCUGGCGUUGGGGAUCGGCGGAGCCCCCCGUGGGCACACGCCGUCCCCCAAAUGCAGUGGCGGUCCCGCCGCAGCUUCCAUCGCGUAGUAGCUAACACCUCGCGACUGGAGAGCGGCGCGGCCACGCCGUAAAACCCCAACUUCUGAAUGUUGACCUCGGAUCAGGUAGGAAUACCCGCUGAACUUAAGCAUAUCAAUAAGCGGAGGA
RNAcentral lists this unclassified non-coding RNA (350 nucleotides) under soil metagenome. RNAcentral's name for it is "partial contains 5.8S ribosomal RNA, internal transcribed spacer 2, and large subunit ribosomal RNA". The stretch from base 1 to 120 matches the Rfam family "5.8S ribosomal RNA", at positions 35 to 154 of the family's 154-position model. The record is from RNAcentral.